GCGGAAUUGAUGGAAUUGGCAGACAUGCAAGAUUUAGGUUCUUGUGCCGAGAGGCGUAUGGGUUCAAGUCCCAUAUUCCGCA
This 82-nucleotide transfer RNA is filed under the name Lachnospiraceae bacterium OM04-12BH. It matches the Rfam family "tRNA". From Rfam's summary of the family: Transfer RNA (tRNA) molecules are approximately 80 nucleotides in length. Their secondary structure includes four short double-helical elements and three loops (D, anti-codon, and T loops). The record is from Rfam by way of RNAcentral. RNAcentral also lists the same sequence under 3 other names. Lineage: Bacteria; Bacillati; Bacillota; Clostridia; Lachnospirales; Lachnospiraceae.